CCUCAAAUCGGGUGAGACUACCCGCUGAACUUAAGCAUAUCAAUAGNCCGGAGGAANA
RNAcentral lists this ribosomal RNA (58 nucleotides) under Lactifluus cf. putidus LIP Mart1113. Its description in RNAcentral is "partial 28S ribosomal RNA". The record is from RNAcentral. Lineage: Eukaryota; Fungi; Basidiomycota; Agaricomycetes; Russulales; Russulaceae.